Molecule: unclassified non-coding RNA, 342 nt
Filed under: soil metagenome
Description: partial contains 5.8S ribosomal RNA, internal transcribed spacer 2, and large subunit ribosomal RNA
Rfam family: 5.8S ribosomal RNA (bases 1-120)
Source: RNAcentral
GAUGAAGAACGCAGUGAAAUGCGAUAAGUAGUGUGAAUUGCAGAAUUCAGUGAAUCAUCGAAUCUUUGAACGCACAUUGCGGCCAUAGGUAUUCCUUUGGCCAUGCCUGUUCGAGCGUCAUUUACACCCUCAAGCCUAGCUUGGUGUUGGGCGCCUGUCCCGCCGUUUUCGCGCGCGGACUCGCCUCAAAGUCAUUGGCGGCGGUCGUGCCGGCCCCCUCGCGCACCACAUUUGCGCUUCUCGGAGGCCCGGCGGAUCCGCGCUCCAGCAAGACCUUUCACGACUUGACCUCGGAUCAGGUAGGGAUACCCGCUGAACUUAAGCAUAUCAAUAAGCGGAGGA